CGAUAUGUAGUACACCGUGAUAAGCUGACAGGAACAACACCGUUUUAUUGGAUUACAUGUGGAAUAGCUGCUGGUGCAUACUAGAUGGUUAUUGAUAAUAAUUUGAUACCGUCCUUCAGAUUUGUUUUAUUACCGACACUAUAUUGUAUAUAUUGGACGUCGAAUUAGCUAAAUAACAUGACGCUUUCUUGGUAAUAACAGGACUGUCUUCAGCCAGAUUAUGUCCACAGUUGGAGAUUUUUGUAGAAAGAGGAACAUUUUUGUGACCAGAAGUUGAGAACUCUAUAGUUUCAUUAUGCCAGGAUUUCACGCCUGUAAUAAACUUCUUAAGAAGUAUGAAGAGGACAAAGCCUACCGAAUACAUAAAAAAAAGGUUGCUGAAUCAAGGACAGCUUUAGAUACUAAAUCUCCAAAGAAAUAUGCCCAUGUCCUUGUACGACUCAAGAGAAUACAG
Molecule: long non-coding RNA, 454 nt
Organism: Pecten maximus
Lineage: Eukaryota; Metazoa; Mollusca; Bivalvia; Pectinida; Pectinidae
Exons: 3
Source: RefSeq, a predicted model, not a curated record